GCCAACGUCCAUACCACGUUGAGCACACCGGUUCUCGUCCGAUCACCGAAGUUAAGCAACGUCGGGCGCGGUCAGUACUUGGAUGGGUGACCGCCUGGGAAUACCGCGUGAUGUUGGCUUUU
This 122-nucleotide ribosomal RNA is filed under the name Papilio xuthus (Asian swallowtail). Lineage: Eukaryota; Metazoa; Arthropoda; Insecta; Lepidoptera; Papilionidae. The record is from RNAcentral.